CAGGACGAACGCUGGCGGCGUGCCUAAUACAUGCAAGUCGAACGGCUUUUCUAUGGAAGCUUGCUUCCACUGAGAAGAUAGUGGCGAACGGGUGAGUAACACGUGGGGUAACCUGCCCAUAAGAGGGGGAUAACAUCCGGAAACGGGUGCUAAUACCGCAUAGUUUUUCUUGAUCGCAUGAUUGAGAAAGGAAAGACGGCCUUUGUGCUGUCGCUUAUGGAUGGACCCGCGGCGUAUUAGUUAGUUGGUGAGGUAACGGCUCACCAAGACGAUGAUACGUAGCCGACCUGAGAGGGUGAUCGGCCACAUUGGGACUGAGACACGGCCCAAACUCCUACGGGAGGCAGCAGUAGGGAAUCUUCCGCAAUGGACGAAAGUCUGACGGAGCAACGCCGCGUGAGUGAAGAAAGGUUUUCGGAUCGUAAAACUCUGUUGUCAGAGAAGAACAAGUUGGAGAGUAACUGCUCCAGCCUUGACGGUAUCUGACCAGAAAGCCACGGCUAACUACGUGCCAGCAGCGGC
This 522-nucleotide ribosomal RNA is filed under the name uncultured bacterium. RNAcentral's name for it is "bacterial SSU rRNA". It matches the Rfam family "Bacterial small subunit ribosomal RNA", at positions 25 to 518 of the family's 1533-position model. The record is from RNAcentral.